RNA transcript from Fukomys damarensis (Damara mole-rat), 2455 nucleotides. It is a transcript of the gene named arylformamidase, with no coding region annotated. NCBI's taxonomy places the organism in Eukaryota, Metazoa, Chordata, Mammalia, Rodentia, Bathyergidae. The record is from RefSeq and is a predicted model, not a curated record. The transcript is spliced from 12 exons.
GGCCGACGCGCUGGCACCGCACUCUGCGCGUCCCUCCGCCGUGGACCAGCAUGGAAGCCCCGCGCGCGGGACCCGGGGCCCUGGCUCCCUGGAAAGAGAUGUCUGCAGAGGAGCUGGAGAAGCAGUAUUCGCCCAGCAGAUGGGUCAUCCGAGUGGAGCCUGAGGAAGCCUUGAGGACCUUCUGGGAGAAGGGAACCCAGGCCACCAACAACGCCCAGGCCACCAGGCGGUGCCAGCUGCACGUCCCCUAUGGGGAUGGUCACGGGGACAGAAUGGACAUCUACUUCCCUGGUGUGGAGUCAGAAGCCCUGCCUUUCUUCCUGUUUUUCCAUGGAGGGUACUGGCAGAGUGGAAGUAAAGACCAGUCGGCCUUCAUGGUCGACCCGCUGACAGCACAGGGAGUGGCCGUGGCGGUAGUGGAUUACGACGUCGCCCCCAAAGGGAGCCUGGACCGGAUGGUAGACCAGGCGACCCGCAGCGUCGCGUUCGUCCAGAAGCGGUAUCCACACAAUGAGGGGAUCUACCUGUGUGGACACUCUGCUGGAGCCCACCUGGCCAGCAUGGUGCUCCUGGCCAGCUGGACCGAGCAUGGAGUGGCACCCAACCUCAGAGGCUUCUUCCUGGUGAGCGGGAUCUAUGACCUGGAGCCCAUUGUACCCACCUCCAACAACGCUCUUCUUCUCCUGACCCUGGAGGAUGCGGUGAGGAACAGCCCAUGGAGGCGCCUGGACGCGGCCCCGGCACAGCCUUCGGGUCCAGCCUGCCCUGUCCUGGUGAUGGUGGGUGAACACGAGUCCCCCGAAUUCCACCGCCAGUCCUGGGAGUUCUGUCAGAGCCUAUGCCGAGGAGGAUGGAAAGUCACGUUUAAAAAACUGCCUGACGUGGAUCACUUCAGUAUCAUUGAGAAUCUGGCCAAAAAGGACUACGUGGUCACCCAGAUCAUCAUGAAAACCAUCUCCCAGAAGUGCUGAUGCUGGGCUCUGGCCCUUGAGCACCACCCUGGCAGUUCUCGGAGCCAAGGUGACUGCCUGCCCCGCAUGAGCCAUUCCUCUUCCUGAUGAGAGCACCUAAAAAUCUACCCGGCCUGCACCGAGCUCCAGGGAAGUCCGCAGGGCUGUGCUGUGAGCCGUCCGGAGCCUCGCCUGCCUGGCCCCUCUGCCUGCUGACAGGGUUCCUUGCCCAGGCCCUUGCACCGUGACAUUUCUAACUUGGAGCCAGAUGACCAUGGACUGAACCUACUGGAAUCCCAAAUAAACCUCUCCUUUAAGUUGUGGCUGUUUAUCCCAGGGAUGGGAAAUCUAAUCUACUGGGCUUUUCCUUUCUUUAAAAAGCUUCCUCCAGGUUCGGUGGCCUGCCUUGCAAGUGCAAGGACCUGAGUUCAAUCUCCGGUACCAAAAAAAAAGCUUCCUCCUACCCCAGUGUCUUCAGAAGCACCAAAGAUCUGCCACAGCACAGAGAGAUCCCAGACUGCAGUCCCUGCUAUUCCUGGAUUAUCUGUUUGCUAACAGUGGUAGCUGCCCUGUAGUUCAUUUUAGGUUGAUAGAGCCCUAGCUGAGAAUGGUUGUACACUUUUUUAGAUGAAUGAAAAUAUUAAAAAGGGAAUAUAGCUUCAUGAGAUAAAAAUUAUAAAACAUAGGCAGGGUAUAUUGGUGUGCAAAUGCAGUCCCAACUACUUGGGAGGCUGAGGCAGAAGGAUCUCUGAGGGUGUACCUUAGUGGUAGAGCUUGUGCUUGCUUAGCACGUACAGGCCCUUGGUUCCAUCACUGGCAGUACAACAAAACAAACUCAAAUGUGAACAGCCCUGUUCCUUCAUGUCCACGGUACAUGGCAGAGAGAGGAGGGGUAGCAUGGCCCUCGGUGCUUAAGCAUUUCCUCUCUGGCCCCACGGUUCACCAACCCUCUUGUAAAGUCUUCUCUAACCAGUGCUCGCUCUACCUUUGUUUCUGUCCACCCUGCCCUCUAUUCCGCCUGACAUUUGAGUCUGCCCCUGAAAGUCCUGGGGUCUUGGCCUGGGAGCCACACCAUGACCUUGAGAAGACCUUGGUGCUCACCUGAAGGUCCAUGCAGCUUCUCUGCCGCCUGCGGCCAUGUGCAAGGAGACUGUGUGGUCAUCCACACCCUGCCUGGCUGCACUUCCCCUCCCUGCAGCGUCCACUGUGGCCUUCUUGGUGGCAGAGAACAGAGCAGAACCCAAAUGUUCAUCAGCAGGGGAUAAACUCAGUCCCUGACUCACAAUGGCAUCACGAUGGUUGUUUCACUUUAUAGUGGUACAAAAAUACACGCGGAAAUCCACUGCUUUUCCCAGGGGUCAGUUGGCAGGCACUCUGUUCUCGUGGCUUUUAUGACCUGGGCGCAGUGGCACACGCAUGCCUAUAGCCUCAGCUAUUUGAAGGGAGCCUAAGGUAGGAGGACCCUCCAGUCACAAGACCAUAGUCUGCCUGUGCAACACAGCAAG